GACGAACGCUGGCGGCGUGCUUAACACAUGCAAGUCGAACGGAAAGGCCCUGCUUUUGUGGGGUGCUCGAGUGGCGAACGGGUGAGUAACACGUGAGUAACCUGCCCUUGACUGUGGGAUAACUUCAGGAAACUGGGGCUAAUAUCGGAUAGGAGCUCCUGAUGCAUGGUGGGGGUUGGAAAGUUUCGGCGGUUGGGGAUGGACUCGCGGCUUAUCAGCUUGAUGGUGGGGUAGUGGCUUACCAAGGCUUUGACGGGUAGCCGGCCUGAGAGGGUGACCGGCCACAAUGGGACUGAGAUACGGCCCAGACUCCUACGGGAGGCAGCAGUGGGGAAUAUUGCACAAUGGGCGGAAGCCUGAUGCAGCAACGCCGCGUGCGGGAUGACGUCCUUCGGGUUGUAAACCGCUUUCGCCUGUGACGAAGCGUGAGUGACGGUAAUGGGUAAAGAAGCACCGGCUAACUACGUG
Molecule: ribosomal RNA, 468 nt
Filed under: uncultured bacterium
Lineage: Bacteria
Description: partial 16S ribosomal RNA
Rfam family: Bacterial small subunit ribosomal RNA
Source: RNAcentral